This 30-nucleotide non-coding RNA is filed under the name Mus musculus (house mouse). Lineage: Eukaryota; Metazoa; Chordata; Mammalia; Rodentia; Muridae. The record is from RNAcentral.
UAGGUGACCCUUGUGAACACGCCGCUGUUU